AAAGAGUUGAUCCUGGCUCAGAACGAACGCUGGCGGCGCGUCUUAAGCAUGCAAGUCGAACGGCAAGAGGUAGCAAUACCUCCUAGAGUGGCGGACUGGUGAGUAACACGUGGGUGACAUACCCUUCAGAUGGGGAUAGCUAUUAGAAAUAGUAGAUAAUACCGAAUACGAGCACAGGGGUUAGAGAUCUGUGAGGAAAGGAGCUAAGGCUCCGCUGAAGGAAUGGCCUGCGGCCCAUUAGCUAGUUGGUGAGGUAAGAGCCCACCAAGGCGAUGAUGGGUAUCCGGCCUUAGAGGGUGAACGGACACAUUGGGACUGAGAUACGGCCCAGACUCCUACGGGAGGCAGCAGCUAAGAAUAUUCCGCAAUGGACGAAAGUCUGACGGAGCGACGCCGCGUGGAUGAAGAAGGCCGGAAGGUUGUAAAAUCCUUUUGAAACUGAAGAAUAAGCGUUGUAGGGAAUGACAGCGUGGUGACAGUAGGUUUUGAAUAAGCAACGGCUAAUUACGUGCCAGCCGCGGC
This 522-nucleotide ribosomal RNA is filed under the name uncultured bacterium. RNAcentral's name for it is "bacterial SSU rRNA". It matches the Rfam family "Bacterial small subunit ribosomal RNA", at positions 1 to 518 of the family's 1533-position model. The record is from RNAcentral.